GACGAACGCUGGCGGCGUGCUUAACACAUGCAAGUCGAACGGAAAGGUCCUGCCUUUGUGGGGUGCUCGAGUGGCGAACGGGUGAGUAACACGUGAGUACCCUGUACUUGACUGUGGGAUAACUUCAGGAAACUGGGGCUCAUACCGGAAAGGAGCUCCUGCUGCAUGGUGGGGGUUGGAAAGAUUCGGCGGUUGGGGAUGGACACGCGGCGUAUUAGAUUGUUGGUGGGGUAGUGGCUUAGCAAGGCUUUGACGGGUAGCCGGCCUGAAAGGGUGACCGGCCACAUGAGGUCUGGAAUGCGGCCCGAACUGCACCGGGAGGCAAGAGAGGGGAAUAGUGCACAAAGGGAGGGAGCCUAAUGAAACAAAGCCGCGUGCGGGAUGAAAGCAUUCGGUUAGUAUAGCUCAUUCACCUGUGCCGAAGCGUGAAUGACAGUAAUGGGUAAAGAAGCACCGGCUAACUACGUG
This 468-nucleotide ribosomal RNA is filed under the name uncultured bacterium. RNAcentral describes it as "partial 16S ribosomal RNA". It matches the Rfam family "Bacterial small subunit ribosomal RNA", at positions 28 to 507 of the family's 1533-position model. The record is from RNAcentral.